GAUGAACGCUGGCGGCGUGCCUAAUACACGCAAGUCGAGCGAACGGACGAGGAGCUUGCUUCUCUGAUGUUAGCGGCGGACGGGUGAGUAACACGUGGAUACCCUCCCUAUAAGACUGGGAUAAUUUCGGGAAACCGGAGCUUAUACCGGAUAAUAUUUUGAACCGCAUGGUUCAAAAGUGAAAGACGGUCUUGGUGUCACUUCUAGAUGGAUCCGCGCUGCAUUAGCUAGUUGGUAGGGUAACGGCUUACCAAGGCAACGAUGCAUAGCCGACCUGAGGGGGUGAUCGGCCACACUGGAAGUGAGACACGGUCCUGACUCCUACGGUAGGCAGCAGUAGGGAACCUGCCGCAAUAGGCGAAAGCCUUACGGAGCAACGGGGAGUGAGUGAUGAAGGUCUUCGGAGCGUAAAGAUCGGUUAUGAGGUAAGAACAUAUGUGGAAGUAACUGUGCACAGCGUGACGGUACCUAAUCAGAAAGCCACGGCUAACUACGUG
Molecule: ribosomal RNA, 497 nt
Filed under: uncultured bacterium
Lineage: Bacteria
Description: partial 16S ribosomal RNA
Rfam family: Bacterial small subunit ribosomal RNA
Source: RNAcentral